GAAACUGAGGAUAAUAUUUCAUAGUUGAAUUGGCUUGGAAAAGUUUUUCAAUCAAAGAGAUAACAAAAAUGGUUGUUAUCUGCCAUAGGAUAGGAUCGUGGUCGAUUAUGGUUGUUGGUGAGGUAACGGCUCACCAAGCCGACAAUCGAUAGGGGCCGUGAGAGCGGGAGCCCCGAGAUGGGUACUGAGACAACGACCCAGGCCUUACGAGGCGCAGCAGGUGCGAAACCUCCGCAAUACACGAAAGUGUGACGGGGUUACCCAAAGUGUUCAUUAUUGAACUGUGGUAGGUGAGUAAUGUCCCCUACUAGAAAGGAGAGGGCAAGGCUGGUGCCAGCCGCCGCGGUAAAACCAGCUCUUCAAGUGGUCGGGAUAAUUAUUGGGCUUAAAGUGUCCGUAGCCGGUUUAAUAAGUUCCUGGUAAAAUCGGGUAGCUUAACUAUCCGCGUGCUAGGAAUACUGUUAUACUAGAGGGCGGGAAAGGUCUGAGGUACUACAGGGGUAGGGGUGAAAUCUUAUAAUCCUUGUANGACCACCAGUGGCGAANGCGUCAGACUAGAACGCGCCUGACGGUGAGGGACGAAAGCCAGGGGANCGAACCGGAUUANAUACCCGGGUAGUCCUGGCCGUAAACGAUGCAUA
This 641-nucleotide ribosomal RNA is filed under the name uncultured archaeon. RNAcentral describes it as "bacterial SSU rRNA". It matches the Rfam family "Archaeal small subunit ribosomal RNA", at positions 136 to 766 of the family's 1478-position model. The record is from RNAcentral.